This 728-nucleotide ribosomal RNA is filed under the name uncultured eukaryote. RNAcentral describes it as "SSU rRNA". It matches the Rfam family "Eukaryotic small subunit ribosomal RNA", at positions 674 to 1426 of the family's 1831-position model. The record is from RNAcentral.
GGCCAUGUUGGUUAACAGAUCCUCAUCUGCUGGACGUCUGGCGAUGAUCUUUAUCGGUUGUCGUCAGUUGCCAGCACGUUUACUUUGAGAAAAUUAGAGUGCUAAAAGCAGGCUCACGCCUAUAUAUAUUGCAUGGAAUAAUGAAAUAAGAUCUCGAUUUUAUUUCGUUGGUUUUAGAAAUUGAGAUAAUGAUUAAUAGGAUCAGAGGGGGGCGUACGUACUGUGGUGUGAGAGGUGAAAUUCUUGGAUCGCCACAGGACGAACAGCAGCGAAGGCGUUCGCCAAGAAUGUUUUCAUUAAUCAAGAACGAAAGUUUGAGGUUCGAAGACGAUUAGAUACCGUCCUAGUUCAAACCAUAAACGUUGCCAACUGUCUUUUAGAUGCGGUUAUUUAUAUGACUCAUCUGGCGGAUCUCGAGAAAUCUAAGUUUUUAGGUUCCGGGGGAAGUAUGGUUGCAAAGCUGAAACUUAAAAGAAUUGACGGAAGGACACACAAGAAGUGGAGCCUGUGGCCUAAUUUGACUCAACACGGGAAACCUUACUCGGCCAGGACACUUUUAGGAUUGACAGAUUGAGAGCUCUUUCUUGAUUAGGUGGGUGGUGGUGCAUGGUCGUUCGUAGUUCGUGGAGCGAUUUGUCGGAUUAAUUUCGAUAACGAACGAGACUCCGGCUUACUAAAUAGUCUAAAGUUCGAAGGGACUUUUCAAGACUUAUUAGCAGGAUAAGUGG